GGACUACCCGGGUAUCUAAUCCUGUUUGCUCCCCUAGCUUUCGUGCCUCAGUGUCAGGAAUCGUCCAGGGACUCGCCUUCGCCACUGGUGUUCCUCUCGAUAUCUACGCAUUUCACUGCUACACCGAGAAUUCCAGUCCCCCCUCCGAUCCUCAAGCCGGAUAGUAUCCAAUGCAGUUUCGCAGUUGAGCUGCGAGAUUUCACAUCAGACUUACCCGACCACCUACGCACCCUUUACGCCCAGUGAAUCCGAACAACGCUCGGGACCUCUGUAUUACCGCGGCUGCUGGCAC
RNAcentral lists this ribosomal RNA (292 nucleotides) under uncultured Verrucomicrobiota bacterium. RNAcentral describes it as "uncultured Verrucomicrobia bacterium partial 16S ribosomal RNA". Lineage: Bacteria; Pseudomonadati; Verrucomicrobiota. The record is from RNAcentral.